Non-coding RNA from Malus domestica (apple), 1935 nucleotides. Lineage: Eukaryota; Viridiplantae; Streptophyta; Magnoliopsida; Rosales; Rosaceae. The record is from RefSeq and is a predicted model, not a curated record.
UAAAACCAAAACCACACAAACUGGCCUCCAUUUUUGUAACUCGAGAGCUUCGGUGAGAUGAAGGAGAGGAGCAGGGAGAUGGGCUUGAGUCCGCCAACGGCGGAAGAGAUCUUCAGGUAUUAUAGUGCUCCGAGAACCAAUGUCGUCCACUCCUUAACUAGCGUUAUGUAGCUCAGACCAUCACGAUUCACCAUUGUCACCCCAUCAUUGCCGUCGCGACCACCGCGGCCACAUCACCGCCGUCGAAAACACUACCAUACCAUCAUCCUGCAAAAGCUUAGAGAGAGAAAAUAUAACCAUACCUGUGUGGUUGCUCUUCAAAUUGGUGCAUUAUCAAUGAAUGGAUCACGUCAGAUCGUGUCAAAGGCUGGGCAUCCAGCUGCUUUGCCCCUCUCCAUCUGAUGUUGCCCCCUUGGCAGUUCUAUCACUACUGUGAAAGGGCUGGAGCUUUUUGGCGUCAAACUUAGUGAUGCUUCAAAGAAAUUGGGGAAAACAUUUGCUAGGUAUGAUGGAUAUUAUAUUGUUUUGUCAGUAUGCGAUGAUAGGAAAUUUCCUCAACCAAUCUCAAUCCUUUGCAGUCCUUUGGUAUCAAGGUGUUUUUUUUUUUUAAUCUUGCGCGCUAUGUGCAAUUACAUAUGUGUGAGAGACUUUUUAAAUUAGAUGCACUACGUGCUUCUUACGGAUUUUAUAAUGUCAUAUUCUCAUUCGGUUGCUGUUUUAAAUUUGGGCUUUCAUUUGGUUGAGCAUCCUUCUCUCCAAAAGGUAACAUUGUUUCUAAUGCCUAAUCAAAUUUUGAUUUCUUAGGUCAUUACAAUUUAUGUAGUUUUGUGAAGAGAAAUUGUUUACAAGCGCAAACAACUGCCAGAUUUUAUUUUGAAGUCUUAAUAUGCCUAUAGAACCAUAUAAUUAUGGGAGCGAACCAGUUCGCUGAUCAAAGACGUUAAGGCUGCUCUCAUUGAUGCAAUUGGGACAUUGAGGCUGUUCAGAAGGAAUUGAGGAGGAGAGGGAAGGUUUUGGCGUCGAAAAAGUCAUCUCAGAUGGCUGUUGAGGGCUUUCUGGCUCUGGCUCAGAAUGAGAACAAGACUGCUAUUAUUGAACAUAACUGUAAGACUGACUUUGUUGCUCGAUAUAUUUCAAUACUUGGUAAGUGUGACUGAUAUCAUUCCUCCUUAUUUUUUUUUUGUUCUAUUUGGUUAGUUGCUAUUAUAAGUAUAUGGUUGCGUACUUAAUUUCAGUCGUCCUUUUUUCCCCUUAUUUCUUCUUCCUCUGCUUCGCUUUUGCUGCUGCUUCUUCUUCUUCUUCUUCCCCCUUUUGGUUCCCCCUCUCUUGCUUUAUUUCUUCUGAUAUUUUCUCUCUUUCUUGAUCUCUUCAAAAUCGCACAACAGUCUUUGGAGUUGGAGGCUUUUGCUCUGUUGGGUUUGUUUCCAAUAACUCAAAGGGCCGAAAGGUAUUCCCUUUUCAUAUUCUUCUCUCCCAAUUUCUUUAGGGUUAAUUUCAAUUUUCUUAUGCUAUUUGCAGUGGUGCUUUUUAGGGUUUAACUAUUUGAUUUCACAGAUUCAUUACAGACAUAGUAAAUAGGUAUGUCACUAUGGAAGAACUAGAGCAAGUCCUCCACGAAUACGGCUUACAUGGUGAAUUUUAAUCUUUCCAGUCCAGUCGUGCAGAAGACAUCUUCAUUAACCGGUAACAGAUGAAAUAAUUUGAUGUCGAGUUUCCCGUGUAGAAAGGCGAAAAUGCUACAAGUGGAGGAUAGAUAACAACUCAAGACACAUGGUAUGAGGGUGCAGGUAAACUGUACAUAUGCAUCUGGAAAAAGUUAACAGUUUUGUAUUCGAUUUUUUAUGUUUUUCCAGUGUAAGGCAUAUGUUGCAUAAGCAUGUAAAUGGUACAAAUUAUUUGGUUUUGGAUAGUAAACUUUGAGUUUUACAGGAAAAA